UACAGAGGCCUCGAGCGUUGUUUCGGAAUUACUGGGCGUAAAGGGAAUGUAGGCGGUGACGUAAGUCAGACGUGAAAUCCCUCGGCUUUAACCGGGGAACUGCGUCUGAUACUGGAUAGCUAGAGUUCGGCAGAGGGAAGCGGAAUUUCGGGGUGUAGCGGUGAAAAUGCGUAGAUAUCCGAAAGGAACUCAGUGGCGAAAAGCGG
Molecule: ribosomal RNA, 206 nt
Filed under: uncultured bacterium
Lineage: Bacteria
Description: partial 16S ribosomal RNA
Rfam family: Bacterial small subunit ribosomal RNA
Source: RNAcentral